This 66-nucleotide ribosomal RNA is filed under the name Hematodinium sp. Its description in RNAcentral is "partial small subunit ribosomal RNA". Lineage: Eukaryota; Dinophyceae; Syndiniales; Syndiniaceae. The record is from RNAcentral.
AGUGGUAUCAACGCAGAGUACAUGGGCGAAGUCGUAACAUGGUAGUUAACGGUGAACCUGUAACUG